UGUGAUAGUCCCUUCACAACAUGCCAGCUCAGUCCAUGCAUUAGGAGGCAGGGAAAUUCAGAUCACAUGAAGCUCGUGAUGCUGUUGGCAACCCAACCGAGGAGCAGAGACGGGAAGCUGUCACUGCCAGGGGCGAUCAGUUACUCCAUGGCCACGUAUGCAAGCCCUGUGAUGUGAGUGGGUUGAAAAGUGCUGUAUGCAAGAUCUGCUUUUCCAACAGGGGCAGUGCAGAUAUGGCACAUGGUGACAGUGCCUGCAAUGUGUGGUCACUGUAUAGGGGCCAAAGGCUGGGAGCAGCCAGGUUUAGGAAUCUACAAAUAGCUGCUGCCUUCAGAAGCUGCCUGCGAUGUCUGGAUCAGCAUGGAAGGGUGCAGCAUUUCCCCUGCAAUGAAGCAGCACCAGAAUCCGGUUGCAGUGUGGCAGAGGAUCAAAGCCGGGUCAAGCACUGUUCCCAAGAGCGUGAAGGACUUGUCCCUCUCCCUCCCAUUUCGAGUAUUAUGGGAUAAAAAGGCAAAUACUCACGUUUUCUAGAGAUGUUUACGGAAGUCCCCGGCGCUGCCACUAGAUGCCCCUGUUCUCUGCAGAGCCCUGCGGAGCGGGACAUGCGCCCGGUGCUGCGUGCAGGGUCAGGAGAUGGGCUGCAGAAAUCCUGAUUGCUUCAGCCUCUUCCUCCCUAAUGACCUUCUAAUUAGCUGGGGGCUCUGGAGGAGGUGACACAAAGCUUGGUCACAGUGGGGCUGGACCUGCACACUCCAUUGCUGUGACUCCACAACCCAGGGGUGAACCUCUCCGUACCCAAAAGAUCUGGUGAAGGAUUUCAUAGCACAGAGUAGUUUGGUUACCAUCACUGCUGACUGACCAUGUUCACGAGUUUGCAGCUUGGACGUCAGGCUGAGCUUUCUCUCCCUCUUAGCACCAGACAGAAGAGGACACAGGAAAAUUGAAAGCCAGCCUGAUGCACGCCAAGGUGAUUGGAGAGGGAGAGCCUCUGGUACAUUAGCCAUUAGGAAUCAGUACGAAGAAAAGCUUUUAGGAUGCCAAUCUCAAAUGGUUUGGGCCAGCGUUAACAGCCUCAAGCUUUGCCAAUUGGAUUUAUUAUCUGUUUUCACCUGUCAUCAUUGACAGUUCUGAUUGGUGAGCAGUGCAAUACAAAUCCAGCAGUCCACUA
Molecule: long non-coding RNA, 1168 nt
Organism: Numida meleagris (helmeted guineafowl)
Lineage: Eukaryota; Metazoa; Chordata; Aves; Galliformes; Numididae
Exons: 4
Source: RefSeq, a predicted model, not a curated record